AACGAACGCUGGCGGCAUGCCUAACACAUGCAAGUCGAACGAGACCUUCGGGUCUAGUGGCGCACGGGUGCGUAACGCGUGGGAACCUGCCCUUAGGUUCGGAAUAACUCCCCGAAAGGGGUGCUAAUACCGGAUAAUGUCUUCGGACCAAAGAUUUAUCGCCUUUGGAUGGGCCCGCGUUGGAUUAGCUAGUUGGUAGGGUAAAAGCCUACCAAGGCGACGAUCCAUAGCUGGUCUGAGAGGAUGAUCAGCCACACUGGGACUGAGACACGGCCCAGACUCCUACGGGAGGCAGCAGUAGGGAAUAUUGGACGAUGGGCGAAAGCCUGAUCCAGCAAUGCCGCGUGAGUGAUGAAGGCCUUAGGGUUGUAAAGCUCUUUUAGCCGGGAUGAUAAUGACAGUACCGGGAGAAUAAGCACCGGCUAACUCCGUG
Molecule: ribosomal RNA, 433 nt
Filed under: uncultured bacterium
Lineage: Bacteria
Description: partial 16S ribosomal RNA
Rfam family: Bacterial small subunit ribosomal RNA
Source: RNAcentral